This is a non-coding RNA of Salmo salar (Atlantic salmon), 720 nucleotides long. NCBI's taxonomy places the organism in Eukaryota, Metazoa, Chordata, Actinopteri, Salmoniformes, Salmonidae. The record is from RefSeq and is a predicted model, not a curated record.
AGAAUGACUUUCCCAUUGUUCCUCAACUGUAGUGUAUGAUAUACCAUUUUAUAGCCCUGACUCUCUACUUUUAUCCAAUGUAAAAAACACUUUUUCAAAUUUUGCUACAUAAGACAAAAUUCAGCCGUUUGGUCACAUUUGAGGGUGAGGCAGAUAUAUAACAAUUUGCGGAAAAAAAUAUUAUUAUUUGUCCCUCUGAAAUGACACCAUCAAGUGAUAGAUUUUGAACAAAUGCAUGUCGGUCAUUGAACAACCCUAUCCCUUGAUUAUCUAGUGAAAAAAAAAAUAUUUUCUUUCAUAAUUUCUUUAAACAAUUAAUUUACAAACGUUUCAGAAAAUGGAUAUAUAGCAUUUAAGAAUGAAUCUCUUAUGUUUCCCCAUCUGAGCUCAGAGUAGAUGAGAGAUGUUAUGUUUGUCUCUGUUUUGUUGAAGCCCAAUCAAGCAGGAGAGACCAGCCUCCCCUGUACCCAGCUGUGUGUCCAUGAAGAGUGACUGGUCUAUGUUUGAACCUAUAUACUUUAGAGAGGGAGACUUUUCUACUGAACAAAGUCCAAUCAAGGAGGAGAAUCUAGCCUCCCCUGUACCCAGCUGUAUGUCCAUGAAGAGUGACAUGUCUAUGGAACGUCCGAUAGACUUUAGAGAGGGAGACUUUUCUACUGAACAAAGAAACCAACAGGAGAGAUCAGAGUCAGAGAUUCUCAGUGGUCAGUCUUCCCAGAG